RNAcentral lists this unclassified non-coding RNA (337 nucleotides) under air metagenome. RNAcentral's name for it is "partial contains small subunit ribosomal RNA, internal transcribed spacer 1, and 5.8S ribosomal RNA". The stretch from base 1 to 46 matches the Rfam family "Eukaryotic small subunit ribosomal RNA", at positions 1786 to 1831 of the family's 1831-position model. The record is from RNAcentral.
AAGUCGUAACAAGGUUUCUGUAGGUGAACCUGCAGAAGGAUCAUUAGUGAAGAUUUGGGCAGGCCAUACGGACGCCACAAAGUGUCCCUGGCCGCCUACACCCACUAUACAUCCACAAACCCGUGUGCACUGUCCUUGGAAAGGGCAUUUGGAGAGAAAAAGGAAGAGAAGCGAGAACAGUGCGAUCCGUCGCGUUGGGCGUUGAUCUCUGACUUGGUCUCUCUGAGGCCCUUUCCUCGCUACAAACUCGAAUGGUUAGUAUGAACGUGGAACUUGGUUGGACCGUCACUGGCCAACAAACUAUACACAACUUUCGACAACGGAUCUCUUGGUUCUC